AGAAUCAACGCUGGCGGCGUGCCUAACACAUGCAAGUCGAACGAGAAAGUGGAGCAAUCCAUUAGUAAAGUGGCGCACGGGUGAGUAACACGUGACUAACCUACCUUUUAGUGGGGGGAUAACCUAGGGAAACCUGGGCUAAUACCGCAUAAUACCUACGGGUCAAAGCAGCAAUGCGCUGAAAGAGGGGGUCGCGGUCGAUUAGUUAGUUGGCAGGGUAAUGGCCUACCAAGACUGUGAUCGAUAUCCGGCCUGAGAGGGCGCACGGACACACUGGAACUGAAACACGGUCCAGACUCCUACGGGAGGCAGCAGUGGGAAUUUUGCGCAAUGGGGGAAACCCUGACGCAGCAACGCCGCGUGGAGGAUGAAGUCCCUUGGGACGUAAACUCCUUUCGAUCGGGACGAUAAUGACGGUACCGGAAGAAGAAGUCCCGGCUAACUUCGUGCCAGCAGCCGC
RNAcentral lists this ribosomal RNA (460 nucleotides) under uncultured bacterium. RNAcentral's name for it is "SSU rRNA". It matches the Rfam family "Bacterial small subunit ribosomal RNA", at positions 26 to 518 of the family's 1533-position model. The record is from RNAcentral.